This 253-nucleotide ribosomal RNA is filed under the name uncultured bacterium. RNAcentral describes it as "partial 16S ribosomal RNA". It matches the Rfam family "Bacterial small subunit ribosomal RNA", at positions 524 to 776 of the family's 1533-position model. The record is from RNAcentral.
UACGUAGGGUGCGAGCGUUGUCCGGAAUUAUUGGGCGUAAAGAGCUUGUAGGCGGGUUGUCGCGUCUGCUGUGAAAAUCCGGGGCUCAACCCCGGACUUGCAGUGGGUACGGGCAGACUAGAGUGUGGUAGGGGAGACUGGAAUUCCUGGUGUAGCGGUGGAAUGCGCAGAUAUCAGGAGGAACACCGAUGGCGAAGGCAGGUCUCUGGGCAUUAACUGACGCUGAGGAGCGAAAGCAUGGGGAGCGAACAGG